GACGAACGCUGGCGGCGUGCUUAACACAUGCAAGUCGAACGGAAAGGCCCUGCUUUUGUGGGGUGCUCGAGUGGCGAACGGGUGAGUAACACGUGAGUAACCUGCCCUUGACUUUGGGAUAACUUCAGGAAACUGGGGCUAAUACCGGAUAGGAGCUCCUGCUGCAUGGUGGGGGUUGGAAAUUCUCGGCGGUUGGGGAUGGACUCGCGGCUUAUCAGCUUGUUGGUGGGGUAGUGGCUUACCAAGGCUUUGACGGGUAGCCGGCCUGAGAGGGUGACCGGCCACAUUGGGACUGAGAUACGGCGCAGACUCCUACGGGAGGCAGCAGUGGGGAAUAUUGCACAAUGGGAGGAAGCCUGAUGCAGCAACGCCGCGUGCGGGAUGACGGCCUUCGGGUUGUAAACCGCUUUCGCCUGUGACGAAGCGUGAGUGACGGUAAUGGGUAAAGAAGCACCGGCUAACUACGUG
RNAcentral lists this ribosomal RNA (468 nucleotides) under uncultured bacterium. RNAcentral's name for it is "partial 16S ribosomal RNA". It matches the Rfam family "Bacterial small subunit ribosomal RNA", at positions 28 to 507 of the family's 1533-position model. The record is from RNAcentral.